GAACAAAAACAUGGAAAGCCAUGUGCUCAAAAGACAAAGCAACAACAAAAGACGAGGAAGGCAAGCGGGACCGCUAGCAGCCAUGCAAUCAAGUUUCACUGGUUUUUACGGAUAUUAUGCAUGAACCCGCACACUACACUGCAUAACAAUGAAAAACAUCAGCACUCUGGCAUCCGCUGGUUCUUCAUUAUCGGGGCUUAUUCGACGUCCCCUGUUGAAGGAGAGCAGCUAACUUUAGCCAAGCUAGGCUAACGCUUUGUCCCGACAUGGCAGGACACACCAGCUGCAGGCGAUAAUCACUAGGAGGAACGAGAGCCAAAGGUCUCAUAGACGUCAGUGAAGGAGAAGCUCCUCUGGGAACGCCAUCCGACAUGGAGGGCAUUACUGGAAGUGUAUUACUGAUGUGCUUUAUCGGCU
Long non-coding RNA from Notothenia coriiceps (black rockcod), 417 nucleotides. RefSeq lists it as uncharacterized. The record is from RefSeq and is a predicted model, not a curated record. NCBI's taxonomy places the organism in Eukaryota, Metazoa, Chordata, Actinopteri, Perciformes, Nototheniidae. The transcript has 3 exons.